RNAcentral lists this ribosomal RNA (406 nucleotides) under uncultured bacterium. RNAcentral describes it as "partial 16S ribosomal RNA". It matches the Rfam family "Bacterial small subunit ribosomal RNA", at positions 30 to 526 of the family's 1533-position model. The record is from RNAcentral.
AUUGAACGCUGGCGGCAGGCCUAACACAUGCAAGUCGAACGAGCGGCGGACGGGUGAGUAAUGUAUGGGAAUCUGCCCGAUAGAGGGGGAUAACUACUGGAAACGGUGGCUAAUACCGCAUACUAUCGGAUGAACCCAGAUGGGAUUAGCUAGUAGGUGGGGUAACGGCUCACCUAGGCGACGAUCUCUAGCUGGUCUGAGAGGAUGAUCAGCCACACUGGAACUGAGACACGGCCCAGACUCCUACGGGAGGCAGCAGUUGGGAAUAUUGCACAAUGGGCGCAAGCCUGAUGCAGCCAUGCCGCGUGUAUGAAGAAGGCCUUCGGGUUGUAAAGUACUUUCAGCGGGGAGGCGUUACCCGCAGAAGAAGCACCGGCUAACUCCGUGCCAGCAGCCGCGGUAAUUC